AUGGCGACACCAGCGGAGACGAGCGCCUCACGUGCAAAGAGGGCGGAAGACCCUAGCGUCCUCCUGGAGAGAUUACACCUUCAAGAAGACGAACUGGACAAUCUUGUAUGGGAGGAGGAAGCUAAUGACCCGGAGGAGAGGCCAAAGUGGAUGGCCCUGGCUAGGGUUCUGACGGAGAAGUCCUUCGGGCAAGGGGCCUUGAUAGCCGACAUGAGGGCGACAUGGAAUCCGGCAAGGGAAGUGAUCUGGCGUAGGAUUAAUCCAAAUUUAUUCUCUGUACAAUUCAAUUGUUUGGGUGAUUGG
RNAcentral lists this ribosomal RNA (303 nucleotides) under Triticum aestivum (bread wheat). RNAcentral describes it as "partial small subunit ribosomal RNA". The record is from RNAcentral. Lineage: Eukaryota; Viridiplantae; Streptophyta; Magnoliopsida; Poales; Poaceae.